This 354-nucleotide ribosomal RNA is filed under the name Triticum aestivum (bread wheat). RNAcentral's name for it is "partial small subunit ribosomal RNA". Lineage: Eukaryota; Viridiplantae; Streptophyta; Magnoliopsida; Poales; Poaceae. The record is from RNAcentral.
AUGUGUGAGAAAUUCCAUCAGAUUGUUGCUGAUCAUUGGUGGGGUAGAGAAGAUGGAAAGAAAAAGUUACAUUGGCGUUCGUGGGAGUGGCUCACGACUCCCAAGUCUCCUGGGGGCAUGGGCUUCCAUGACAUGGCUCUCUUUAAUCAGACCAUGCUGGGGAGGCAAGUGUGGCGGCUUCUUACUUCCGCGGACUCCCUUUGCGCGCGGGUGCUUAAGGGCCGGUAUUUUCCUGAUGGAGAUUUUUGGCAUGCUCAAGCUCCGCGCGCUGCUUCCUUUACGUGGCGAAGUAUUCUCUUCGGCCAUGUCCUGCUGAAACAUGGCAUCACUUGGGGUAUUGGCGAGGCCCGCUAG